Molecule: ribosomal RNA, 469 nt
Filed under: uncultured bacterium
Lineage: Bacteria
Description: bacterial SSU rRNA
Rfam family: Bacterial small subunit ribosomal RNA
Source: RNAcentral
GACGAACGCUGGCGGCGUGCCUAAUACAUGCAAGUAGAACGCUGAAGAGAGGAGCUUGCUCUUCUUGGAUGAGUUGCGAACGGGUGAGUAACGCGUAGGUAACCUGCCUUGUAGCGGGGGAUAACUAUUGGAAACGAUAGCUAAUACCGCAUAACAAUGGAUGACACAUGUCAUUUAUUUGAAAGGGGCAAUUGCUCCACUACAAGAUGGACCUGCGUUGUAUUAGCUAGUAGGUGAGGUAACGGCUCACCUAGGCGACGAUACAUAGCCGACCUGAGAGGUGGAUCGGCCACACUGGGACUGAGACACGGCCCAGACUCCUACGGGAGGCAGCAGUAGGGAAUCUUCGGCAAUGGGGGGCAACCCUGACCGAGCAACGCCGCGUGAGUGAAGAAGGUUUUCGGAUCGUAAAGCUCUGUUGUAAGUCAAGAACGAGUGUGAGAGUGGAAAGUUCACACUGUGACGGUAG